Long non-coding RNA from Rhincodon typus (whale shark), 715 nucleotides. RefSeq lists it as uncharacterized. Lineage: Eukaryota; Metazoa; Chordata; Chondrichthyes; Orectolobiformes; Rhincodontidae. The transcript has 2 exons. The record is from RefSeq and is a predicted model, not a curated record.
GGGGAGGAGAUGGAAUGGAGUGGGAGGGGAUGAGGCUCACAAACCAGGGUUUUUUUUCGCAUUACUUUUUUUUCUCCCUUGGUCUUGUCAGCAGAGCGUUUGUUGCAAAAGCUAUGACUCUCAGCCAGCCACUUAGCACCCCAUCGUUGGUGGGAAGGGGAGGGUGGUUUCAUUUCUGAGCCUUAAGGAUCUGUGUCCCACAUCUCCCACUGCCUUCCCUUGGAUGUGGGCAGUGAGGGGGGGUCACAGUCCUGAGCUCACAGCCCACUGCAACCUCUCCCACUGACCAGAAGCACCCUGGUCACCCGAUCUGGAUCUCUGCAGCAACAACAUGGAACCUGCCAAUAUUGCCAGGCAACGGUGCAUUUGCCCAUAUCAGAGGCAAAUAGGCAUCCUCACUUGUUUACAUGUCCAAUCUGAAUUGCAUCUUCGAUUUCGCCGUGCACUGAAAAGCUUGAUCUCGGAAAGGGUACUUUUCGGAUAUGUUCCAUAUAAAAUUGCAUUCUCUGUUUACUGUGUUAACAUUGCAGCAGGUCUGGCAUUGCUGGCAGCUUCUGAAUGUUAAUCAUCAGAAUGCCUCAUCUCCUGGACCUGCAUUGCCCACAACCAAGAAAAUUGGGUGGAUCAAUAUGCUCUCCUAAUUUAUAAUGCAUGCAAUCAAAAUGUACAAUGGCUUCAUAACAUCUAUGCAAACAAUAAACUAACCAACAGAUAA